AUUGAACGCUGGCGGCAGGCCUAACACAUGCAAGUCGAACGAGUGGCGGACGGGUGCGUAAUGUCUGGGAAACUGCCUGAUGGAGGGGGCUCACUACUGGAAACGGUAUCUAAUACCGCAUACCAUCUGAUGUGCCCAGAUGGGAUUAGCUAGUAGGUGGGGUAACGGCUCACCUGGGCGACGAUCCCUAGCUGGUCUGAGAGGAUGACCACCCAGACUGGAACUGAGAAACGGUCCAGACUCCUACGGGAGGCAGCAGUGGGGAAUAGUGAACAAUGGGCGCAAGCCUGAUGCAGCCAUGCCGCGUGUAUGAAGAAGGCCUUCGGGUUGUAAAGUACUUUCAGCGGGGAGGCGUUACCCGCAGAAGAAGCACCGGCGAACUCCGUGCCAGCAGCCGCGGUAAUAC
RNAcentral lists this ribosomal RNA (406 nucleotides) under uncultured bacterium. Its description in RNAcentral is "partial 16S ribosomal RNA". It matches the Rfam family "Bacterial small subunit ribosomal RNA", at positions 30 to 526 of the family's 1533-position model. The record is from RNAcentral.